This 721-nucleotide long non-coding RNA is filed under the name Trifolium pratense (red clover). RNAcentral's name for it is "long non-coding RNA (TPRA_LNC014426)". The record is from RNAcentral. Lineage: Eukaryota; Viridiplantae; Streptophyta; Magnoliopsida; Fabales; Fabaceae.
UUUACAAGUACAAAUCGCCACCUCCACCGGUCCAUUACUAUUCACCUCCAUAUUACUACAAGUCACCUCCACCUCCCUCACCAGUUUACAAGUACAAUUCCCCACCUCCACCAGUCCACCAUUAUGAUCCUCCAUAUUACUACAAGUCACCUCCACCUCCCUCACCAGUUUACAAGUACAACUCCCCACCUCCACCAGUCCACCAUUACGAUCCUCCAUAUUACUACAAGUCACCUCCACCUCCCUCACCGGUUUACAAGUACAACUCCCCACCUCCACCAGUCCAUUAUUAUUCACCUCCAUAUUACUACAAAUCACCCCCUACUCCUGUGAAAUCGCCACCACCUCCAUACUACUAUAAAUCACCGCCUCCUCCCUCACCAGUUUAUAAGUAUAGCUCACCACCUCCACCAGUCCACCAUUAUGAUCCUCCAUAUAACUACAAGUCACCUCCACCGCCUUCACCUGUUUACAAGUACAACUCCCCACCUCCACCAGUCCAUUAUUAUUCACCUCCAUAUUACUACAAAUCACCCCCUCCUCCUGUGAAAUCGCCACCACCUCCUUACUACUAUAAAUCACCUCCUCCUCCCUCACCGGUUUACAAAUACAACUCACCACCUCCACCGGUUUACAAGUACAACUCACCACCUCCGCCAGUCCAUUAUUACUCUCCUCCAUAUUACUAUAAGUCACCUCCACCUCCUUCACCGGUUUACAA